Molecule: ribosomal RNA, 373 nt
Filed under: uncultured organism
Description: partial 16S ribosomal RNA
Rfam family: Bacterial small subunit ribosomal RNA
Source: RNAcentral
GUAGGUGGCAAGCGUUGUCCGGAAUUAUUGGGCGUAAAGCGCGCGCAGGUGGGUUCUUUAAGUCUGAUGUGAAAGCCCCCGGGCUCAACCGGGGAGGGUCAUUGGAAACUGGGGAACUUGAGUGCAGGAGAGGAAAGUGGAAUUCCACGUGUAGCGGUGAAAUGCGUAGAUAUGUGGAGGAACACCAGUGGCGAAGGCGACUUUCUGGCCUGUAACUGACACUGAGGCGCGAAAGCGUGGGGAGCAAACAGGAUUAGAUACCCUGGUAGUCCACGCCGUAAACGAUGAGUGCUAAGUGUUGGGGGGUUCCCGCCCCUCAGUGCUGCAGCUAACGCAUUAAGCACUCCGCCUGGGGAGUACGGUCGCAAGACUG